Molecule: long non-coding RNA, 1191 nt
Organism: Oncorhynchus gorbuscha (pink salmon)
Lineage: Eukaryota; Metazoa; Chordata; Actinopteri; Salmoniformes; Salmonidae
Exons: 4
Source: RefSeq, a predicted model, not a curated record
GUUCCCAGUGGGUCCUCUACAAAAUAGCUCCGGUAGGAAAUAUCAACGGGUUUGUUCUCUGUAACGUCUUUGAUAAAACCGCAUUUUGAGCGGAUUUCACGCACUACUUGAGAAAUAAUUCUAAUUUACUAGUAUUUGUGACUCUCUUCUUUUUCAUAUAUCUUUUAUAAUGAGGGGUUUCUUGAUAUAAAUGUGCACGCCUCCUUCAAGCUAAUUUAUGUUCUGUGCGAUGUUUUAGUGGGAUUGUUUACAAUGUAACAUACAAUGUAACACACGGAUGAAUAUGAAAAUAAUGAUUAAUCUAUAUUUUGACAGAUUUGUGUAAUUACGUAAUUUUCCUACAAAUAUGUAAUAAUAGUUCGUUACUAUUUGAAAAAUAUCACCCUCGAACUAAUAUUAGGGAAAAACGCUUCCAAGCAUUGACUUGGCAAAUAUCCUUCACCCCCAUUGACUCGAGGUAAAUAAAGCACCCAUGAUUAAACAACAUGGUGGUUGACAGUAAUCUGGGUUAGCAAGAAAUGUAGACAUUCAUCUCUACAUCUUUGCAAACCACUUAGUGCUGAAUUCUCGGGAAAAAAAAGUAAAUUAGCUAUCUAUUCUACUGCUGAAAAAACAACGGAUUUCCGGUUUCUAGUUGUUCGUUGAUCUCAACGACAGAAUGAGCAACAUCUACAUUCAAGAGCCUCCAUCAAAUGGAAAGAGUGGUGCCAGAGUUUAUUGUCCAAGGAGGAGAUCCCAAAGGCACCUGGAGGGUGGAGAGUCCGUCUAUGGAUGGCAGUUCAAGGUUAACCUUCACUGUUUCAUCACCUCAUUAUCUCGGAUCAUGUUCAAUCCCCCCAAAAGAUAAGAUAAGACUAGACAUAAACAGAAUUCUUCUACUUGGAACCUUUGCCAACUCACCCAUACUACUGCUACUAAUGAUAACAUGGCCAACGCAGGGCCCCAUGACAACGACAGCCAGUUCUUCUUCACCCUUGGCCGGGCAGAUGAGCUCAACAACAAACACACCAGUUUUGGAAAGGUGAUACAGUGUACAACAUGCUCAGGUUAGCAGAAGUGGAGUGUGAUCAAGAGGAAAGACAUUUUAAAUCCACACAAGUUACGAACCACUGAGGUGUUACAUUCUCCCUUCGAUGACAUCAUUCCACGUGAAACAAAAAAAUUCCAGAAGGAUCAAGACAAAAAAUAAGG